AAGUCGUAACAAGGUUUCCGUAGGUGAACCUGCGGAAGGAUCAUUAUUGAAUGAAACUCGGUGGGUUGUUGCUGGUCCCUCUUGGAGACAUGUGCACGCCCAUCUGUUUUCUUCUUUCAACCACCUGUGCACACUUUGCGAGCUUGAAUAAAUUUCGAGGAAACUCGGUUUUGGGGUGCUCUCUUGGACUGCUCCUGUAUUUCCGGCUCGCGUCUUUCAUAUACACCAUUGCAUGUCAUAGAAUGAAAAAUGAACUGGGCCCUUACAAGCCUAUAAACUCUAAACAACUUUCAACAACGGAUCUCUUGGCUCUC
Molecule: unclassified non-coding RNA, 314 nt
Filed under: fungal sp.
Lineage: Eukaryota; Fungi
Description: partial internal transcribed spacer region
Rfam family: Eukaryotic small subunit ribosomal RNA (bases 1-46)
Source: RNAcentral